This 239-nucleotide unclassified non-coding RNA is filed under the name Chalara sp. Its description in RNAcentral is "partial contains small subunit ribosomal RNA, internal transcribed spacer 1, and 5.8S ribosomal RNA". The stretch from base 1 to 46 matches the Rfam family "Eukaryotic small subunit ribosomal RNA", at positions 1786 to 1831 of the family's 1831-position model. The record is from RNAcentral. Lineage: Eukaryota; Fungi; Ascomycota; Leotiomycetes; Helotiales.
AAGUCGUAACAAGGUCUCCGUAGGUGAACCUGCGGAGGGAUCAUUACAGAGCUCAUGCCCUAACGGGUAGAACUCCCACCCUAUGUUAUUAUAACUUUGUUGCUUUGGCGGGCCGCCUUUUACUAGGCUACCGGCUUCGGCUGGUGAGCGCCCGCCAGAGGACCCCAAACUCUGAAUAUUAUUGUCGUCUGAGUACUAUAUAAUAGUUAAAACUUUCAACAACGGAUCUCUUGGUUCUG